This 505-nucleotide ribosomal RNA is filed under the name uncultured bacterium. RNAcentral's name for it is "partial 16S ribosomal RNA". It matches the Rfam family "Bacterial small subunit ribosomal RNA", at positions 28 to 507 of the family's 1533-position model. The record is from RNAcentral.
GACGAACGCUGGCGGCGUGCCUAAUACAUGCAAGUAGAACGCACAGUUUAUACCGUAGCUUGCUACACCAUAGACUGUGAGUUGCGAACGGGUGAGUAACGCGUAGGUAACCUGCCUGGUAGCGGGGGAUAACUAUUGGAAACGAUAGCUAAUACCGCAUAAUAUUGAUUAUUGCAUGAUAAUUGAUUGAAAGAUGCUAUUGCAUCACUACCAGAUGGACCUGCGUUGUAUUAGCUAGUAGGUGAGGUAACGGCUCACCUAGGCGACGAUACAUAGCCGACCUGAGAGGGUGAUCGGCCACACUGGGACUGAGACACGGCCCAGACUCCUACGGGAGGCAGCAGUAGGGAAUCUUCGGCAAUGGACGAAAGUCUGACCGAGCAACGCCGCGUGAGUGAAGAAGGUUGUCGGAUCGUAAAGCUCUGUUGUAAGAGAAGAACGGGUGUGAGAGUGGAAAGUUCACACUGUGACGGUAUCUUACCAGAAAGGGACGGCUAGCUACGUG